This 253-nucleotide ribosomal RNA is filed under the name uncultured bacterium. Its description in RNAcentral is "partial 16S ribosomal RNA". It matches the Rfam family "Bacterial small subunit ribosomal RNA", at positions 524 to 776 of the family's 1533-position model. The record is from RNAcentral.
UACGAAGGGUGCAAACGUUGCUCGGAAUUAUUGGGCGUAAAGCGCACGUAGGCGGCUUUGCAAGUCCCAUGUGAAAGCCCACGGCUCAACCGUGGAAGUGCAUGGGAAACUGCAGAGCUUGAGUACUUAAGAGGAUCGCGGAAUUCCCGGUGUAGUGGUGAAAUGCGUAGAUAUCGGGAGGAACACCAGUGGCGAAGGCGACUACCUGGCCUGUUCUUGACGCUGAGGCGCGAAAGCUAGGGGAGCAAACGGG